CUUUUGCAUUACAAGAUGUUAAUUAAUGCAAUGGAGACAUGGAUUUCUUGUGGAUUCCUGUUAUGUUUUUAUCAGCUGUCAGGUAUUUUAUUCUGAUGGCACCCAUUCACUGCAGAUCAUUCAUUGCUCAUCAAGUGAACUAAUGCUAAAUUUCUCCAAAUCUGUUUCAAUGAAGAAACAAACUCAUCUACAUCUUGGAAGGCCUGAGUGAAGUCGCCCUAAAGCUCUUCCUGUCAGCCUCCAUAUCUCAGCCAAGUUAUCAGGCGGCUCCAUGGGUGCAACGAAGUUCCCGAGAGCGACUGCAAGGCAACGACAGUGCUGAACUAUAUCCAGAUAUGAUCGCUGAUCUCAUGACAGGUGGAACGGGUGGAACUUGUGUAUUUCUGUCUCAGAAUGACUCUGAGAACGACUAUAGCUGCGAGAGCUCGACAAGACGUGCGUGUGAUCAACCGUUUGAAGAAGCGGCUCUUGCUCAGGAGACAGAAAGACAGCCAACGGGAGAGGAGAGCGCCAACCGCCACGGGCAGCUCAUAAAGCCCAGACAACUUCAUAAAAAGAGGAAACUGAGAUACAGAGAGAGAAAAUUGAAAGACAGAAACAAAGUGAAUGGGAAAGGCAGAUUGACAGACACACAGACAAAGGAUGGACAUCUGUUCUGA
Long non-coding RNA from Cyprinus carpio carpio, 659 nucleotides. NCBI's taxonomy places the organism in Eukaryota, Metazoa, Chordata, Actinopteri, Cypriniformes, Cyprinidae. The record is from Ensembl.